GAUAAACGCUAGCGGCAGGCCUAACACAUGCAAGUCGAGGGGCAGCGCGGGGUAGCAAUACUCUGGCGGCGACCGGCGGACGGGUGCGCAUCGCGUGAGCAACCUACCUCUUUCAGGGGGAUAACCCGGCGAAAGCCGGCACUAAGACCGCANGNUCNUGUAANGUAAGGCAUCUUACUUACAGCAAAUAUUUAUAGGGAAGAGAUGGGCUCGCGUCCCAUUAGCUAGUUGGCGGGGUAACGGCCCACCAAGGCGACGAUGGGUAGGGGUUCUGAGAGGAUUCACCCCCACACCGGAACUGAGACACGGUCCGGACUCCUACGGGAGGCAGCAGUGAGGAAUAUUGGACAAUGGGCGGAAGCCUGAUCCAGCCAUGCCGCGUGCAGGAAGACGGUGCUAUGCGUUGUAAACUGCUUUUGUUCGNGAGCAAUGGCGCCUACGAGUAGGCGUUUGAGAGUACCGUUCGAAUCAGCACCGGCUAACUCCGUGCCAGCAGCCGCGGUAAUACGGAGGGUGCGAGCGUUAUCCGGAUUUAUUGGGUUUAAAGGGUGCGCAGGCGGCCUUGUAAGUCAGCGGUGAAAUUUUCCGGCUCAACCGGGACAGCGCCNUUGAUACUGCAGGGCUUGAGCGCGAGCGAGGCUGGCGGAAUGCGCGGUGUANCGGUGAAAUGCUUANAUAUCNCGCAGAACUCCGAUUGCGAAGGCAGCUGGCUAGCUCGCCGCUGACGCUCAGGCACGACAGCGUGGGGAUCAAACAGGAUUAGAUACCCUGGUAGUCCACGCCGUAAACGAUGAGCGCUCGCUGCCCGUGCGUUACGCAUGGGUGGCCAAGAGAAAUCGUUAAGCGCUCCACCUGGGGAGUACGGCCGCAAGGCUGAAACUCAAAUGAAUUGACGGG
RNAcentral lists this ribosomal RNA (897 nucleotides) under uncultured bacterium. RNAcentral describes it as "bacterial SSU rRNA". It matches the Rfam family "Bacterial small subunit ribosomal RNA", at positions 28 to 917 of the family's 1533-position model. The record is from RNAcentral.